This 196-nucleotide small nuclear RNA is filed under the name Gossypium arboreum. RNAcentral describes it as "U2 spliceosomal RNA". It matches the Rfam family "U2 spliceosomal RNA". From Rfam's summary of the family: U2 is a small nuclear RNA (snRNA) component of the spliceosome (involved in pre-mRNA splicing). Complementary binding between U2 snRNA (in an area lying towards the 5' end but 3' to hairpin I) and the branchpoint sequence (BPS) of the intron results the bulging out of an unpaired adenosine, on the BPS, which initiates a nucleophilic attack at the intronic 5' splice site, thus starting the first of two transesterification reactions that mediate splicing. Lineage: Eukaryota; Viridiplantae; Streptophyta; Magnoliopsida; Malvales; Malvaceae. The record is from Rfam by way of RNAcentral.
AUACCUUUCUCGGCCUUUUGGCUAAGAUCAAGUGUAGUAUCUGUUCUUAUCAGUUUAAUAUCUGAUACGUGGGCCAUUGGCUCACACGAUAUUAAAUUAAUUUUUCUAGGGGGAAAGCUUACCAUAGUUGCUUGCUACUAGGGCUUUCAUGCGUCGCCUAAGCGUUGCACUAUAGCUCAGUCCUGGCGCACCCCAC